AAAGUCGUAACAAGGUCUCCGUUGGUGAACCAGCGGAGGGAUCAUUACAGAGUUGCAAGACUCCCAGACCACUGUGAACUUUACCAGCCGUUGCUUCGGCGGGCGCGGCCCUACAGCUGCGCGAGCCCCUCCCGGGGCGCCCGCCGGAGGCACCCAAACCAGUGACGUUUUGCAUGGCCUCUCUGAGCAGCUGUACUGAAGUCAAAACUUUCAACAACGGAUCUCUUGGUUCUG
This 234-nucleotide unclassified non-coding RNA is filed under the name Ascomycota sp. RNAcentral describes it as "partial contains small subunit ribosomal RNA, internal transcribed spacer 1, and 5.8S ribosomal RNA". The stretch from base 1 to 47 matches the Rfam family "Eukaryotic small subunit ribosomal RNA", at positions 1785 to 1831 of the family's 1831-position model. The record is from RNAcentral. Lineage: Eukaryota; Fungi; Ascomycota.